Gavialis gangeticus (Gharial) is the source of this 112-nucleotide long non-coding RNA. RefSeq lists it as uncharacterized. The transcript has 3 exons. The record is from RefSeq and is a predicted model, not a curated record. NCBI's taxonomy places the organism in Eukaryota, Metazoa, Chordata, Crocodylia, Gavialidae.
UCUUCAUCCAGCUUCUGCUUCAUUUCACUCAACCUUUCUUCUUCUUUCUUCCGAAGGCUGAAAUCUCUUUGGACCACCUGAAGUACAUGUUCUGCUUCCUCCUCAGUCAAGC